Molecule: ribosomal RNA, 244 nt
Filed under: uncultured bacterium
Lineage: Bacteria
Description: partial 16S ribosomal RNA
Rfam family: Bacterial small subunit ribosomal RNA
Source: RNAcentral
CGUGGGUAACCUGCCCAAGAGACUGGGAUAACACCUGGAAACAGAUGCUAAUACCGGAUAACAACACUAGACGCAUGUCUAGAGUUUAAAAGAUGGUUCUGCUAUCACUCUUGGAUGGACCUGCGGUGCAUUAGCUAGUUGGUAAGGUAACGGCUUACCAAGGCAAUGAUGCAUAGCCGAGUUGAGAGACUGAUCGGCCUCAUUGGGACUGAGACACGGCCCAAACUCCUACGGAAGGCAGCAG